This is a long non-coding RNA of Alligator mississippiensis (American alligator), 1033 nucleotides long. RefSeq lists it as uncharacterized. The record is from RefSeq and is a predicted model, not a curated record. The transcript has 3 exons. NCBI's taxonomy places the organism in Eukaryota, Metazoa, Chordata, Crocodylia, Alligatoridae.
CAGAGAGGAGGGAGUUUUUUGAGCAAAGAUGCAAGAAGAAGUCUGACUGUAGGGAUAGCUCAAGCUGGGUAGCUCAGAAGGGAAAUUUUUUGUUAACCUAAAAUGCAGCAAAUGAUUGUUUAUACUGGUGGCUGUGAAAGAGACUGUGAGGGGUGGCUUUUUCGGAGGUCCCAUUAGUGCCCCAGGAGCACAUGAUUGUGGGGACAAGCUGAUGAUUGUGAAACUCAAGCUGAUCCAGGCCUACUCGCAAAAGUUAAUAUACAAAAUAUUUAUGACAACUGCAUAGUGCAAAAGAACAUGUUAAUCAAUUUCCUGAUAUGUUCCAAUUUGGGAGAAAUUGAUAAUCUCCUGUUACUGAGGAAGGUAAUUCAAUCAAAAUUGGGACUUUCUGAUCCAUCAAACUGUUCAAUUUUUUGGCUAACAGGAUUUUCCUGUUAAUUAUUGUUUGAGACUUUCUCUUGGUUUACACAACAACAAGAAUGCUUUGAAGAUGCUGAGCUAAAGGGCAUAAAAGAAGAAAGAAACAACUAACAAGGCACACUUCCAGACUGAUAAAUCACUCUGAGGAGAACUGCUACUGCACCCAGCUGAUCUAGGUGAAAGUAUCCAAACCUUGAGAAGCUGAAAAGACAGAGACCACCACUUUUUGCCUAUAAUUAGUAAGAUACUAUCACUUUUACAGCUGAACACUGGACUUUGCUUUGCUUUAUGCUCACUUAACAGUGGAUACUUGUAGCAAAUAAAGUCUUUCUGUCAUUCAUCAAACAAGUUGCCAUGUCAACCCUUUAACACUAGUCUUGAAUCCCAUUUCUUCACUUAACAAGGCUCAAGGGAUUCCAUCAAAGCAGAACCUGGACCAGGGCAGAGUGUGGGGCCAGAGAGCCUAUAACUGGACAGAGAUGAGGCACAAGGAAGGCCAAGGCCAUAUGCCCCAAAAUACAUAUUUAGCCCAGGAGACAAAGAGUGAGACCAGGCAUGGGAAACCCUGGGGCAGCCCCCUUUCUUCCAUGCCUUGAUGUCAUAGAGUUUAGAA